This 423-nucleotide long non-coding RNA is filed under the name Citrus maxima (pomelo). RNAcentral describes it as "long non-coding RNA (CMAX_LNC002147)". Lineage: Eukaryota; Viridiplantae; Streptophyta; Magnoliopsida; Sapindales; Rutaceae. The record is from RNAcentral.
CAGCUUAUAGAGUUUCUACUAUCGUCAGGCUUGAUCAAAGUGCUUCGUACUCCGUCUGGUCCCACUACUUCUCUCUCCAACGCUGAUUUCGACUCUCACAGCGCCGAUUAUAUCAUCCACUGCGUGAAAUCAGGUAACGCUGUAUGAAAUUUUUUAAGCAAACGUCAGAAACAAACAGAAGUGGAGAAAAUAUGAAGUUAAAGAUAUUUGUGCUUUCUUUGGCUUGGCUGCCAAUAAGAUAUAGGAAAAAAUUCAAAACGACAUUACUUACAACUUGGAGAGGGAAAUGAAAGCCUUUUCUUUUCUUCUUCUUCUUUUUUUCAAUCUUUAUUUUGUCAAGGUUUUCUAGAAACCAAACAGAGUUCAGAUUUUUUCUACUGUCUAUCUACAAUUUUCUUUUUCCACUGAACAAAUGUAUUCUUG